RNAcentral lists this ribosomal RNA (460 nucleotides) under uncultured bacterium. Its description in RNAcentral is "partial 16S ribosomal RNA". It matches the Rfam family "Bacterial small subunit ribosomal RNA", at positions 338 to 795 of the family's 1533-position model. The record is from RNAcentral.
CCUACGGGAGGCAGCAGUGAGGAAUAUUGGUCAAUGGACGAGAGUCUGAACCAGCCAAGUAGCGUGAAGGAUGACUGCCCUAUGGGUUGUAAACUUCUUUUAUAAAGGAAUAAAACGAGGCACGUGUGCCUUUUUGCAUGUACUUUAUGAAUAAGGAUCGGCUAACUCCGUGCCAGCAGCCUCGGUAAUACGGAGGAUCCUAGCGUUAUCCGGAUUUAUUGGGUUUAAAGGCAGCGUAGAUGGGUUGUUAAGUCAGUUGUGAAAGUUUGCGGCUCAACCGUAAAAUUGCAAUUGAUACUGGCAGUCUUGAGUACAGUUGAGGUAGGCGGAAUUCGUGGUGUAGCGGUGAAAGGCUUAGAUAUCACGAAGAACCCCGAUUGCGAAGGCAGCUUACUAAACUGUGACUGACAUUGAUGCUCGAAAGUGUGGGUAUCAAACAGGAUUAGAUACCCCUGUAGUC